RNAcentral lists this ribosomal RNA (356 nucleotides) under uncultured soil bacterium. RNAcentral describes it as "bacterial SSU rRNA". It matches the Rfam family "Bacterial small subunit ribosomal RNA", at positions 26 to 385 of the family's 1533-position model. The record is from RNAcentral.
AGAUUGAACGCUGGCGGCAUGCCUUACACAUGCAAGUCGAACGGCAGCACGGGGGCAACCCUGGUGGCGAGUGGCGAACGGGUGAGUAAUGCAUCGGAACGUGCCCAGUAGUGGGGGAUAACUAGUCGAAAGAUUAGCUAAUACCGCAUACGACCUAUGGGUGAAAGCGGGGGAUUCGCAAGAACCUCGCGCUAUCGGAGCGGCCGAUGUCUGAUUAGCUAGUUGGCGGGGUAAAGGCCCACCAAGGCUUCGAUCAGUAGCUGGUCUGAGAGGACGACCAGCCACACUGGGACUGAGACACGGCCCAGACUCCUACGGGAGCAGCAGUGGGGAAUUUGGACAUGGGCGCAAGCCUG